ACGAACGCUGGCGGCAGGCCUAACACAUGCAAGUCGAGCGCACCUUCGGGUGAGCGGCGGACGGGUUAGUAACGCGUGGGAACGUACCCUUUUGUACGGAAUAGCCUUUGGAAACGAAGAGUAAUACCGUAUACGCCCUUUGGGGGAAAGAUUUAUCGGAGAAGGAUCGGCCCGCGUUAGAUUAGAUAGUUGGUGGGGUAACGGCUUACCAAGUCUACGAUCUAUAGCUGGUUUUAGAGGAUGAUCAGCAACACUGGGACUGAGACACGGCCCAGACUCCUACGGGAGGCAGCAGUGGGGAAUCUUAGACAAUGGGCGCAAGCCUGAUCUAGCCAUGCCGCGUGAGUGAUGAAGGCCUUAGGGUCGUAAAGCUCUUUCGCCUGUGAUGAUAAUGACAGUAGCAGGUAAAGAAACCCCGGCUAACUCCGUGCCAGCAGCCGCGGUAAUACGGAGGGGGUUAGCGUUGUUCGGAAUUACUGGGCGUAAAGCGCACGUAGGCGGAUUGGAAAGUUGGGGGUGAAAUCCCGGGGCUCAACCCCGGAACUGCCUCCAAAACUUUCAGUCUAGAGUUCGAGAGAGGUGAGUGGAAUUCCAAGUGUAGAUGA
This 605-nucleotide ribosomal RNA is filed under the name alpha proteobacterium IMCC14445. RNAcentral's name for it is "bacterial SSU rRNA". It matches the Rfam family "Bacterial small subunit ribosomal RNA", at positions 29 to 682 of the family's 1533-position model. The record is from RNAcentral. Lineage: Bacteria; Pseudomonadati; Pseudomonadota; Alphaproteobacteria.